GGUGAAAAGCACCCCGGAAGGGGAGUGAAAUAGAACCUGAAACCGUGUGCUUACAAGUAGUCAGAGCCCGUUAAUGGGUGAUGGCGUGCCUUUUGUAGAAUGAACCGGCGAGUUACGAUUUGAUGCAAGGUUAAGCAGUAAAUGUGGAGCCGUAGCGAAAGCGAGUCUGAAUAGGGCGUUUAGUAUUUGGUCGUAGACCCGAAACCAGGUGAUCUACCCUUGGUCAGGUUGAAGUUCAGGUAACACUGAAUGGAGGACCGAACCGACUUACGUUGAAAAGUGAGCGGAUGAACUGAGGGUAGCGGAGAAAUUCCAAUCGAACCUGGAGAUAGCUGGUUCUCUCCGAAAUAGCUUUAGGGCUAGCCUCAAGUGAUGAUUAUUGGAGGUAGAGCACUGUUUGGACGAGGGGCCCCUCUCGGGUUACCGAAUUCAGACAAACUCCGAAUGCCAAUUAAUUUAACUUGGGAGUCAGAACAUGGGUGAUAAGGUCCGUGUUCGAAAGGGAAACAGCCCAGACCACCAGCUAAGGUCCCAAAAUAUAUGUUAAGUGGAAAAGGAUGUGGCGUUGCCCAGACAACUAGGAUGUUGGCUUAGAAGCAGCCAUCAUUUAAAGAGUGCGUAAUAGCUCACUAGUCGAGUGACACUGCGCCGAAAAUGUACCGGGGCUAAACAUAUUACCGAAGCUGUGGAUUGUCCUUUGGACAAUGGUAGGAGAGCGUUCUAAGGGCGUUGAAGCAUGAUCGUAAGGACAUGUGGAGCGCUUAGAAGUGAGAAUGCCGGUGUGAGUAGCGAAAGACGGGUGAGAAUCCCGUCCACCGAUUGACUAAGGUUUCCAGAGGAAGGCUCGUCCGCUCUGGGUUAGUCGGGU
RNAcentral lists this ribosomal RNA (868 nucleotides) under Staphylococcus aureus. Its description in RNAcentral is "partial 23S ribosomal RNA". It matches the Rfam family "Bacterial large subunit ribosomal RNA", at positions 513 to 1389 of the family's 2925-position model. Lineage: Bacteria; Bacillati; Bacillota; Bacilli; Caryophanales; Staphylococcaceae. The record is from RNAcentral.